RNAcentral lists this ribosomal RNA (253 nucleotides) under uncultured bacterium. RNAcentral describes it as "partial 16S ribosomal RNA". It matches the Rfam family "Bacterial small subunit ribosomal RNA", at positions 524 to 776 of the family's 1533-position model. The record is from RNAcentral.
UACGUAGGGUGCGAGCGUUGUCCGGAAUUAUUGGGCGUAAAGGGCGCGUAGGCGGUGCGGUAAGUCACCUGUGAAAUCUCCUGGCUCAACUGGGAGCUUGCAGGCGAAACUGCCGUGCUGGAGUGUGGGAGAGGUGAGUGGAAUUCCCGGUGUAGCGGUGAAAUGCGCAGAUAUCAGGAAGAACACCCGUGGCGAAAGCGGCUCUCUGGAACGGUACUGACGCUGAGACGCGAAAGCGUGGGGAGCGAACAGG